This 329-nucleotide unclassified non-coding RNA is filed under the name soil metagenome. Its description in RNAcentral is "partial contains 5.8S ribosomal RNA, internal transcribed spacer 2, and large subunit ribosomal RNA". The stretch from base 1 to 120 matches the Rfam family "5.8S ribosomal RNA", at positions 35 to 154 of the family's 154-position model. The record is from RNAcentral.
GAUGAAGAACGUAGCGAAAUGCGAUAAGUAAUGUGAAUUGCAGAAUUCAGUGAAUCAUCGAAUCUUUGAACGCACAUUGCGCCCCUUGGUACUCCGAGGGGCAUGCCUGUUCGAGCGUCAUUAUAACCCCUCAAGCUCAGCUUGGUGUUGGGGCCUGCUGCACUGGCAGCCCUUAAAAUCAGUGGCGGCGCCAUCUGGCUCUAAGCGUAGUAAUUCUUCUCGCUAUGGAGUCCUGGUGGAUGCUUGCCAUCAACCCCCAAUUUUUCUAUGGUUGACCUCGGAUCAGGUAGGGAUACCCGCUGAACUUAAGCAUAUCAAUAAGCGGAGGA